CAKGGGGSGGCUAWACAUGCAAGUCGAGCGAACUGAUUAGAAGCUUGCUUCUAUGACGUUAGCGGCGGACGGGUGAGUAACACGUGGGCAACCUGCCUGUAAGACUGGGAUAACUCCGGGAAACCGGAGCUAAUACCGGAUAACAUUUUYUCUUGCAUAAGAGAAAAUUGAAAGAUGGUUUCGGCUAUCACUUACAGAUGGGCCCGCGGUGCAUUAGCUAGUUGGUGAGGUAACGGCUCACCAAGGCAACGAUGCAUAGCCGACCUGAGAGGGUGAUCGGCCACACUGGGACUGAGACACGGCCCAGACUCCUACGGGAGGCAGCARUAGGGAAUCUUCCGCAAUGGACGAAAGUCUGACGGAGCAACGCCGCGUGAGUGAUGAAGGCUUUCGGGUCGUAAAACUCUGUUGUUAGGGAAGAACAAGUACAAGAGUAACUGCUUGUACCUUGACGGUACCUAACCAGAAAGCCACGGCUAACUACRUGCCAGCAGCCGCGGUAAUACSUAKGUGGCAAGYGUUAUCCGGAAUUAUUGGGCGUAAAGCGCGSGCASGCGGUUUCUUAAKUCUGAUGUGAAAGCCCACGGCUCAACCGUGGAGGGUCAUUMGAAAGUGGGGAACUUGASUGCAGAUGAWAAAAGCCAAAUUCCACUCGAAACCSUGAUAUCGUAUAG
RNAcentral lists this ribosomal RNA (674 nucleotides) under Priestia paraflexa. RNAcentral's name for it is "partial 16S ribosomal RNA". The record is from RNAcentral. Lineage: Bacteria; Bacillati; Bacillota; Bacilli; Caryophanales; Bacillaceae.